GUCCACGCUGUAAACGAUGAAUACUAGGUAUUGGAGGAUUUGACCCCUACAGUGCCGUAGCUAACGCGUUAAGUAUUCCGCCUGGGAAGUACGGUCGCAAGACUAAAACUCAAAGGAAUUGACGGGGCCCGCACAAGCGGUGGAUUAUGUGGUUUAAUUCGAAGCAACGCGCAGAACCUUACCUAGGCUUGAAAUCCCAUGAAUCCCUUUUAAACGAGGGAGUGCUCUUCGGAGAAUAUGGUGACAGGCGCUGCAUGGCUGUCGU
Molecule: ribosomal RNA, 265 nt
Filed under: uncultured bacterium
Lineage: Bacteria
Description: partial 16S ribosomal RNA
Rfam family: Bacterial small subunit ribosomal RNA
Source: RNAcentral